RNAcentral lists this ribosomal RNA (433 nucleotides) under uncultured bacterium. Its description in RNAcentral is "partial 16S ribosomal RNA". It matches the Rfam family "Bacterial small subunit ribosomal RNA", at positions 29 to 507 of the family's 1533-position model. The record is from RNAcentral.
AACGAACGCUGGCGGAAUGAAUAACACAUGCAAGUCGAACGAGACCUUCUUUUCUAGUGGCGCACGGGUGCGUAACGCAUUGUAACCUGCCCUUAUGUUCGGAAUAACUCCCCUAAAGGUGUUCUAAUACCGGAUAAUGUCUUCGGACCAAAGAUUUAUCGCCUUUGGAUGGGCCCGCGUUGGAUUAGCUAGUUGGUAGUGUAAAAGCCUACCCAGGCGACGAUCCAUCGCUGGUCUGAGAGGAUGAUCAGCCACACUGGGACGGAGACCAGGCCCAGACUACUACGGGAGGCAGAAGGGGGGAAUAUUGGAAAAUGGGCGAAAGCAUGAUAAAGAAAGGACGCGUGAGUGAUGAAGGCCUUAGGGUUGGAAAGAUCUUUUACCCGGGAUGAGAAUGACAGUAAAGGGAGAAGAAGAUCCGGCUAACUAAGUG